This 774-nucleotide long non-coding RNA is filed under the name Homo sapiens (human). RNAcentral's name for it is "HSALNT0010622". Lineage: Eukaryota; Metazoa; Chordata; Mammalia; Primates; Hominidae. The record is from RNAcentral.
GAGAACACACAGGAGCUCCUCCUGCUCAGCCACUCCAACGGGGUGAAGGGUCAUAAAAGAGUGAAAGUGGGGGGUUGUCAUGGAACUUCCCAAAAGAGAUAACAGGAAACCAUUUUGGACAACUGUCUAUGGUUUGAACCAACAAAUAAAGGGAAGACAUUCUAACUGAUGAAGCUGCUCAACAACAAAACCAGGAAUCUUCUGAGACAGUGAGCUUCCCAUGACUGGAAUGGUUAUAGCUGAAGCCAAAAUGGCUUACAAGAGAGGCCACACAUUGUGCUGGUUAAAAGCACAGACCCUGGAGCCAGGAUGCCUGGAUUUGAAUCCUGAUUCUCAUAUAUAGCUGGGAAACCUUGGGCAAGUUUACUUGACAUUUUUUGUGCCUCAGUUUAUUUAUUAUUGUUAUUUUUUUCCAAGACGGAGUCUUGCUCUGUUGCCCAGAGCUGGAGUGCAAUGGCACAAUCUUGGCUCACUGCAACCUCCACUUCCCAGGUUCAAGUGAUUCUCCUGCCUCAGCCUCCCAGGUAGCUGGGAUUAUAGGCGCAAACUACCAUGCCUGGCUAAUUUUUGUAUUUUUAGUAGAUACGGGUUUCACUAUGUUGGCCAGGUUGGUCUUGAACUCCUGACCUCGUGAUCUGCCCACCUCAGCCUCCCAAAGUGCUGGGAUUACAGGCAUGAGCCACUGCACCCGGCCGUGCCUCAGUUUCUUCAUCAGAAAAUAGGAAUAAUAAAGUACCUACCUCAUAGAGUUGUUAUGCGUCACUUGUUCUCUCC